This is a long non-coding RNA of Numida meleagris (helmeted guineafowl), 4876 nucleotides long. RefSeq lists it as uncharacterized. The transcript is spliced from 4 exons. Lineage: Eukaryota; Metazoa; Chordata; Aves; Galliformes; Numididae. The record is from RefSeq and is a predicted model, not a curated record.
GAUGGGGAAUGCCGCUCUUGCAGCAGGAAGAAGCGGAGGAAGACAAUACAUGAAGCUGGGAGGCCUUUUCCCCGACUAGAAGGGCUGCGGGCAGGGAGUCAGAAGGAAAUCGGGAACAAAUGACCCUUAACGAAGCUGUUAUCAGAUCCGCGCCUUAUCACCGCCGUGCAUGGAGGCAACCCAGCUGCUUUCAUGGAACACCAGGAGCGGCGGCGGGGUCAAGGCCUGAGCACUUCUCCAUCGGCUUCCCUGCGGGCAAGGCAGGAAGAUCCCAGCCAAACCCGGCUCUCUGUGCUCCCUGGUGCUCAAAGCAACCGUUACCCACGUCGCUGUUCAUUGCGCUAAUUAACGCGGUGAGGUUCUGACAGUGGGAAGGUCCCAGCCCAGGCUGCGUUGUGCUGGAGGAGGCUAACCCUAACCCUAACCCGGGUCCCUGCAGGCAUUUGUGUGACUAAUUAAUGUUGAAAUCAGUGAGGAACCGGUGUCUGCGAGGGAUGAUCCCCUCCAUGCAUCUGAAGACGUGCCGUGGUGUUUACCUGGUGUCAGCAGUCACCAUGUCCACUAUGUCGGUCACCUCAUAGAGGAGACAAGGGUAAAACACAUAAAGUUUGCCUGCUGCUCUCUUUCCCACAGCUGGGAAUGCUUGCACUUCUCCAGCCUGCAGCUUUGCUCGCCCAGCCACUGGUUUUCUCCUUUGUCUGCAGGCUUCGGUGAUGCCACCUUGUUCCCAGCUGAAGUGUGAGCACUGAGCUCGGCCCCUGGUGCCUGCAGAGAGCUGGCACCUCACCCAGCUGGGGUGGGAUACGAGCAAAGCGAAACCCUGCGUUCACUGCUGGCUCCUGGUGGUUGCUGCAAAGGCUUUCCCAAGCAGUGUUCCGCUCGGCAUCGUUGCUCUUCACAGGUGUGCACGUGUCCGUUGAGAUGCAGCUGGAAAUCUGGCAUUGCAAUGUUCUGUGUAACGCAGACACUGAUAAUGCACAAUAGCUUCUUUGUCUUCGAAAGGAAUACUUCAAAGCCAUUGCUUUGAAGCCUGGAAGCAGCUGCACUUUGCAGAGGCAGCGCUGGUAGCACUGUGAUCCUUUGCCAUCAGGCUGCCCGUGCUGUCCUGGCUGCUCCUGAGCCUUCCCCGCUCACCUUAGGAUAUUGCUGAAGACAUGAGCUGAGAAAGCAAAGAGCUCUGCAUGUUUCUCGCUGGCCUUUUCCUAGCGAGCUGAGCAAUGACACUGCUGUGACAGCAGCUCAGCGUCACGUUGGGCUUGAAGAAGCAUCCCAGCUUCCAGCAGCUCCUGGUGCUGGUGGGUGGUCACAGAAGCGGGUCUGGCUCCCUCCUGGUUUACAAGGAUUUCCUUGCCCAGAACUUGCUUUUCCAAGUGCUUUUCCAAGUUUCCAACUUGCUUUUUUCUGGUGGGUGCUCAUCUGACAGCUGGACGCAGCUCCUCAACCUUAGCUGGAAAGGAUCCUGACGUCCAGAAGACUCAGCUUGGAUAUGCCGAACAUAUGAUGGAAUGGGUGCUGCUCCGGUGGGUGGUUUUAGUUCUCUUUCAUUGCCAACAUGCUAACGGGAAUUCGAUGAGAAGAUCACCUUACUGUGAACUUUUUAAUGAGCACCACUUCCUUGUCGUAACGAAAUUGAGAAGGGAUUAAUCACCUGAUUUAAUUACCGAGAGAAAAGACGUCUUCCAGGAGGAUUUCCAUCUGAUGUGUUCUGGACAAUCCUUGUAUAUGGAAGCAGCAGGAUGAUUCCUUGUGGAGCAAUCCCAUUUGUGGCACCUGGCAAUACGAGCACCUCCCUGAUGCCUGACCAGCACCAAGGCAUUGGUUCCCACGAGCUUUCUGCUCUCCUCUGCCUUUGCCUUAGUGGAAGUUUGUUGAGACUGGCCCAUCUGGUUUGCAAGUAUCUCCAGUUUAGUGAGCUGCUAUCUCGUGGCAGGGCUCUGCUUUGGAAAUCUCUGCAGCUGGGGCUUUGGGAUUGCUCUCGUUUUCCUGAGAUGGUGGUGGAGCCCUCCUGUGUUUCUCCUUCGGGUCUGGGGUGAACAGGGAUGCAAAGCACACAGCAGCCCUCCUGUCCUUAGCAGAGCAUUUCAGAAGCCUUUUUUUUUUUUUUUCCCCACUCAAAGAUCUUGGGGCCGACCAAUUCCUUCUUGUUCCUCCUGUUUAUAAUUGCUUUGCCAGCAGCAUCCCACCGGAUCCUUUCCAGAUCUCUCACCCCUUUCCAGCCUUGUUUAUUCAUCAGCAUCCGUGCUGGCCGGCCAGCUGCCACAGAGAGGAGCUGUUUGGCUGCACACCGGCUUCUGCUUCCCAGGAAAACAGGCAAACAAACGCUCACCAGCCUGCCUCUGCAGCCUGCUUUCUGCUGCCUUUUGUCUCGUGUCCAGCCCUGAAAUGCCGUGUGUCCAUCCACUCCCCAGCAGUUCUUGCUGACCGUCCUCCGUGCUCAGCCACGUUGCUGGAAGUGCUGCCUUUCCCAGAUGCUGCACGUGCCCUUCAGCUGUGGUUUUGUGUUUCACAUUUUACUUGACAUUCUCUUCCUGCAGGCUGUCACGGACUGGGCAGGCCUGGUCCCCUGCACUGCCUCUAGCACUGCUCCUUCCUCAGGCUGAAUGUAACACAUGUGUGGCUGUGGGAUGUACCAGCUCUGCGUGGUCCACCUGGAGAAGGGAUCCGGCUCAGCCCGCUGUGAUGUUCACCAUGCAGAGCUCCUCGUUGUUCUCAAAGCUCUGCCUCAGGAGAGCAAGAAAUGCUAGAUGCAUGAGGGCAGAAAGAUGGGGCUCAGCAGAGCGGAGUUUCUUUUUGGUUUAAAUGGGUUCCAAACGCAUUUGUCGAAGUGGUGAUGUGGAAGCUUGCUUCAAUUCGUGCCGCGUUAUGCUCAGUGCCAUUUAUCACUGCCGAGAUGGAUCACCCAGCACCACUGAGGGGCUUCUAGGAGCCUGCUGGGCACUGACAGAACUGUAGGACAGCUUGAUUUCUCUCAGUAUCCAUUUGAUUCUGCGACCCUUGGUGAUUUUGCAGUAGGUUUUGUCUCAUCACAGGUGGAAUCUCUGUUGCAGCAGCCAGGGGCUGGCUGUGCCUCAGUUUCCCCAUUACAAGAGAUAUGGCAGGCUCCAAUGCCCUUGCUUUAACUCACUGUGCAUCAAGAGCACUGUAAUAGAGCUAGAGCAAGGAAACUAACAUCAUGGGAUGGAUCCCCUGGCUGCUGACAGGCUCUCCCAAACCGCCCAGCAGUAGCAGAUAUUCUGUCUGUCCCAGUGGUGCAGCCUUGAUCUCCAUUUGUCCAGCACUCUUCAGCAGCCAGUGCUCGUGGUGACAGCUGCUCUGGAACCAGAGAUCCCCUCACCAGUUCGGUGGGUUCCAGCCUCUGCUCUGACCUGCCACGCAGGCCUGCAAGGUCCCUGCAGGGUGUGUUUCAGCCCUGCGCUACGUGCACUUUGUGCCUCCGGGAGCCAGGAGCUUGCAUCCUUGAGGCAGCAGGACCUGUGAGCUCGUUGUGGAAGUCCAGUUCCAAAGAUGCCUGCAGCAGGGGGCUUGGAGCUUGAUGGUCCUUGAGGCCCCACCCAACCCAAGCCAUUCUGUGACUCUAUGUGCCUAAACCAGGUUCAGCUUGGGGUUUGCAACAAAGGGAUGAUGGUAACAGUGGUUGUUAUUGGUAUUGCUCACAGGAACCCAUCCUGUUAUGUAGAGGUUGGACCACUAGCAUCAGGAACUGUUUUCUUUUUAAUGAAAAAUGCAUUUAUGGGCUUUUGCUGACUUUUCUCAGCCUUCUCGCUGUGUUUCCUUAAGGUGAAUUGCUUUGGAGGAGCGUUCAGCUGUGUCCCCAGGUGGAACUCCUCAGGCUGGAAGCGAGCGGGUCCAAAUGGGGGAGUUCUGCAAUGGCAGUCCUCAAUGGGCUUCCAGCUGUUGUCACACAUGGCAUGAACACAGCUGGGCUGGUUGCAGUCUGUUAUUAGUCACUUCAAGAGAGCUGUGCAUGAGGGCUUAAAGGGAGUCAUGGCUGUAGCUGGAGUUUUCUAGAAACACGGAGGUUUAAGCACACGCUUCUUCAAUAUAUAUAUAUUUUUAUGUGAAUUUGAAUAAAUAGAAGUCGGUAUAUCCAUUCCGGAGCAAUCUUUCCAAUCAUAGCAUGUUCAUGCUGCUGAGUGCAUGCUCGCCCUCUGAAUCAUUCUCUAGAUCAGUCUCACCCAGGUCUUUGGUGUCCACAGACAGCUUCCUGCUGCAAGGGCUGAGUGAAGCCAGCACUCAUUGCUCCCAGCACAACUCGUCCUCCCGAAAAAUGCACCAGCCCUCAGCCCCUCUGCCAGGAGCACAUCCCUGCCAUCUGCAUACAGCUCUGCUCAGCGCUUCGGCUCAGGGCAAUUAAGCAAUUGUCCUCGGUAAGGGGAACAGAACAGACGUGAAAUAUGGACUGCGUUCGUUUUUAUGUCCUCUGAAAUCUUCUGCUGGUGAAUCUAAUCUUUGCAGUGCUCGGUUUCUCAGCGUCUUCCUGCCCCUGUCUUCCUUCCCGUGCCGCCUUCUGCAACGUUUAUUGCAUUAACAAGAAGUGGGCAUGACUUCUGUCUAAUAACAUUUUAUCUGAGAUCAGGCUGUGCUGGGAAGAAAGUCAUUGAGUUAAUUCAGUUUGCUCUGACAUGGCACUGAAUCAAUAUCGGUGUGUGCCUGGCCGUGAAGCAUUGCUUGUAAGAUCUGUAUUCAAGCCAGUGUCUCAAGGCACUGGCUGCCCAAAGCACUCAUCCUAGGGAAGAGUGACCCCUCAAGCAGCCAGGACCUCAUCCCAGGUGCACAAGUUGCUGUCAAAGUGUGAAGCCCUUCCUUUAGUUCUUGCAGCCUCUUCCUUUAGUUCUUGCAGCCUCUUCCUUUAGUUCUUGCAGCCUCUUCCUUUAGU